UGAACGCUGGCGGCGUGCUUAACACAUGCAAGUCGAACGAAGCACUUCAGAUUGAUUCUUCGGAUGACGUCUUUUGUGACUUAGUGGCGGACGGGUGAGUAACGCGUGGGUAACCUGCCUCACACAGGGGGAUAACAGUUAGAAAUGACUGCUAAUACCGCAUAACCCGAUAGGAUCGCAUGAUCCAGACGGAAAAGAUUUAUCGGUGUGAGAUGGACCCGCGUCUGAUUAGCUAGUUGGUGAGGUAACGGCCCACCAAGGCGACGAUCAGUAGCCGGCCUGAGAGGGUGAACGGCCACAUUGGGACUGAGACACGGCCCAAACUCCUACGGGAGGCAGCAGUGGGGAAUAUUGCACAAUGGGGGAAACCCUGAUGCAGCGACGCCGCGUGAGUGAAGAAGUAUUUCGGUAUGUAAAGCUCUAUCAGCAGGGAAGAAAAUGACGGUACCUGACUAAGAAGCCCCGGCUAACUACGUG
Molecule: ribosomal RNA, 477 nt
Filed under: uncultured bacterium
Lineage: Bacteria
Description: partial 16S ribosomal RNA
Rfam family: Bacterial small subunit ribosomal RNA
Source: RNAcentral